GCCCGGUUAGCUCAAUCGGUAGAGCGUGAGACUCUUAAUCUCAAGGUUGCGGGUGAGUAACAUGUUCAGCUGCUUGAUAAAAUAAAGAACCAAAGUAUUAAUCCUAAUAUAAUAGGUUCGACCCCCGCAUUGGGCU
Molecule: non-coding RNA, 136 nt
Organism: Xylariaceae sp. AK1471
Lineage: Eukaryota; Fungi; Ascomycota; Sordariomycetes; Xylariales; Xylariaceae
Source: the annotation of a GenBank genome assembly